CAAACAGACCUAUAAAAAUCCAAUUGCACAUGUUGGUUUAAUCUAUUCAUAUUUUUAUUUAUGUUUACAUCGCUUAUAUGGUCAUCUGAGGUCAAAUCGAUACGUAAUAAGAUGGCGUCUGGACUAAAAUACACACGAAACGAACCUAAAUAUUAUCUUCCCCAUGCUCUGUAAACUGUUUAUUUUAGACUUUUGAUAGUUUGGAUAAAUGUUUUACAUUGUUAUAAAUCA
RNAcentral lists this long non-coding RNA (231 nucleotides) under Mytilus galloprovincialis (Mediterranean mussel). Lineage: Eukaryota; Metazoa; Mollusca; Bivalvia; Mytilida; Mytilidae. The record is from RNAcentral.